CGGCGCUGCUCGCCGAGGUCGGGCUCGCCGCCCUGGCCGGUGACGCGGCACUGCGGGCCGCGUACGACGGCUCGGACCUGGUCGGGGUCGG
Molecule: transfer RNA, 91 nt
Filed under: Planosporangium mesophilum
Lineage: Bacteria; Bacillati; Actinomycetota; Actinomycetes; Micromonosporales; Micromonosporaceae
Description: tRNA-Gln
Source: RNAcentral